Small nucleolar RNA from Dipodomys spectabilis (banner-tailed kangaroo rat), 134 nucleotides. RefSeq annotates it as small nucleolar RNA SNORA48. Lineage: Eukaryota; Metazoa; Chordata; Mammalia; Rodentia; Heteromyidae. The transcript has a single exon. The record is from RefSeq and is a predicted model, not a curated record.
UAUUCCUUUUCUGAGCAAAGUGACAUCAACUUCAUGGUGCUCAUCUUAUAUCAUCCAGGGACAAAACAACCCAUGUUUAUUCCAGCAUGGCUUUUGAUCUUUGCCUACACCUGGUUCAUUCCUUGGACACACGU